This 61-nucleotide transfer RNA is filed under the name Ictidomys tridecemlineatus (thirteen-lined ground squirrel). RNAcentral's name for it is "Spermophilus tridecemlineatus (thirteen-lined ground squirrel) tRNA". It matches the Rfam family "tRNA". From Rfam's summary of the family: Transfer RNA (tRNA) molecules are approximately 80 nucleotides in length. Their secondary structure includes four short double-helical elements and three loops (D, anti-codon, and T loops). The record is from Rfam by way of RNAcentral. Lineage: Eukaryota; Metazoa; Chordata; Mammalia; Rodentia; Sciuridae.
GGAGUUGUGGCUCAGUGGUAGAGCACUUGCCUAGCAUGCAUGCGUUCGAUCCUCAGCACCA